This is a long non-coding RNA of Leopardus geoffroyi (Geoffroy's cat), 917 nucleotides long. RefSeq lists it as uncharacterized. The transcript is spliced from 4 exons. The record is from RefSeq and is a predicted model, not a curated record. Lineage: Eukaryota; Metazoa; Chordata; Mammalia; Carnivora; Felidae.
GACAAGCAGACAGCUCCCGUGAGCAAGCAGACAUGUGUGGCUGUGGGAUCAGAUGAAGAAUUGCACUUUGGCUCAGCUUCCCAUGUUCACUACCCAGGAACAAAUUCCUCAGGAUCCUGAAAGAGAUGGAAAGCUAAAUUUUCCAGUGAAUUUCCCACAGAGUUGUCACUUCACCAGCUGAGCCAGAACCACUGCUACCGCCACCAACACAGCCUCUGUACAACCACAGCCAUGGCCACAUCCAGCUUCUGCCACAGAACUGAACAUUUGUCAGCCUGACAACUCCAGGAACCAGCUCACUUCAGUUAAGGGUGAGUUAAUCUCUGAUGUCCUUCUCAUCAACCACCUCUUGUAAACACCUGGUGACACUUUACAGCACAAGGUCAAAGAUAAAGCCAGACACAUUUUUAAAAAGGGGGAGCACUGGGAUACAGAAUACUCUCCUGCCUUAAAUAGAACCAGAUUAAUCUAAAUGCAAAAUGUGGAGCAAUGUCUAAGAUAUGAUGUUAAGUGAAAAAAACAAAGGUUGCAAAAUAGUAUACACACUGUGAGUUCAUUUUUAUAACCCCAUUUAUAUUUAAUGCUUUUAUGUAUAGAAAAAGAGUGGAAAAGAUGUUUAUCAGUCUGUUAUAUAGAAAGAGUUAUGAGAGGACUUUGAAUUUUUUAUAGUCAUGUCUGUUAUUUUUGCAAUCAGUAAAUAGUUUUUUGUAAAAGGGACUUGAGAUAACAACUCUUACUUUCAUACCAUUUAUUUUUUGCUUUACCAUUAAAAGAAUUUUACCUAACUAAAGGAAUCUCUAUGUAUAUCUUUGUUUAGAUUUUUAUUAUCUCUGAUUUCUAACUUAUUCUUGCCUCAAAAAAAAAAAAAAAACAUAUCUCCAAGCACUUCAGAUUUCUCACAAACUUCAUCCUGACAC